UCCUCUUUACAGAGGCAGUUCGUUCCGAGUCCCCGACUUUACUCGCUGGUAACAGAACGUGAGGGUUGCGCUCGUUGCGGGACUUAACCCAACAUUUCACAACACGAGCUGACGACAGCCAUGCACCACCUGUGUACCACCCUCGAAGGAGCUCCUUUUCGGGAGUUUGCAGGUACAUGUCAAGCCCUGGUAAGGUUCUUCGCGUUGCAUCGAAUUAAGCCACAUGCUCCACCGCUUGUGCGGGCCCCCGCCAAUUCCUUUGAGUUUCAACCUUGCGGCCGUAGUCCCCAGGCGGUUCACUUAAUGCGUUAGCUGCGGCACCGAGGGUAACCCCCCAACACCUAGUGAACAUCGUUUACGGCGUGGACUAC
Molecule: unclassified non-coding RNA, 371 nt
Filed under: uncultured bacterium
Lineage: Bacteria
Description: contains 16S-23S intergenic spacer region
Source: RNAcentral